RNAcentral lists this ribosomal RNA (441 nucleotides) under uncultured bacterium. RNAcentral describes it as "bacterial SSU rRNA". It matches the Rfam family "Bacterial small subunit ribosomal RNA", at positions 338 to 795 of the family's 1533-position model. The record is from RNAcentral.
CCUACGGGAGGCAGCAGUGGGGAAUCUUGCGCAAUGGGCGAAAGCCUGACGCAGCGAUGCCGCGUGCGGGAUGAAGGCCUUCGGGUUGUAAACCGCUUUCAGCAGGGACGAAAUUGACGGUACCUGCAGAAGAAGCCCCGGCCAACUACGUGCCAGCAGCCGCGGUAAUACGUAGGGGGCGAGCGUUGUCCGGAUUUAUUGGGCGUAAAGAGCUCGUAGGCGGUUCGAUAAGUCGGAUGUGAAAUCUCCACGCUCAACGUGGAGGGGCCAUUCGAUACUGUCGUGACUCGAGUCCGGUAGGGGAGUGUGGAAUUCCCGGUGUAGCGGUGAAAUGCGCAGAGAUCGGGAGGAACACCCGUAGCGAAGGCGGCACUCUGGGCCGGUACUGACGCUGAGGAGCGAAAGCGUGGGGAGCAAACAGGAUUAGAUACCCCUGUAGUC